CCUGGUAGCUCAGAUGGUAAAGAAUCUGCCUGCAAUGCAGAAGACCCGGGUUCAAUCCUUGCAUCAGGA
Molecule: transfer RNA, 69 nt
Filed under: Bos taurus (domestic cattle)
Lineage: Eukaryota; Metazoa; Chordata; Mammalia; Artiodactyla; Bovidae
Also listed under: 2 other names
Rfam family: tRNA
About the family: Transfer RNA (tRNA) molecules are approximately 80 nucleotides in length. Their secondary structure includes four short double-helical elements and three loops (D, anti-codon, and T loops). Further hydrogen bonds mediate the characteristic L-shaped molecular structure. tRNAs have two regions of fundamental functional importance: the anti-codon, which is responsible for specific mRNA codon recognition, and the 3' end, to which the tRNAs corresponding amino acid is attached (by aminoacyl-tRNA synthetases). tRNAs cope with the degeneracy of the genetic code in two manners: having more than one tRNA (with a specific anti-codon) for a particular amino acid; and 'wobble' base-pairing, i.e. permitting non-standard base-pairing at the 3rd anti-codon position.
Source: Rfam by way of RNAcentral